GCCAGGAGUUCAGAAUCCCUCAGAUGGGGAAGAGUAUGACAGGGCAGAAAGAUGCAAACCACGGAAGAAGGAGUUCAGGUAACAACUGCUGACCAACUGCCACCAACGGGCAAGAAAACACACAAGAGCACUGCGGGUGGGAGCACUCCACGAAAAACCAGUCCUGCUUCCAAGCCAAGAUCCCCCAGCCCUCAUCAGGGGAGUGGAUCUUGCAGAUGAAGCCUCAGCCAUCCCCCCAACUGCCACCCAACUGCCACCCCAAGGGGAGGCAAGCUCGCCUGGCCAAAGCAGCAGGACCCCCAGAAGAACAAGUGGCAACAUGUGCAGGGAGGGUAGAGCAAAGGAAAUCUUUCCGGUCUGAAUGUCGGAGCAUAUGGAGCCUCAGUUUGUCAGGACGACAGAAGGCUUUGUCACACUCUGUGCACUGGUAAAUCUUUUCUGAGUGGAAGCUGCGUACAUGUUUCUUCACCUAGGAAUAAAGAUUCCCAGGAAAAACUCAGUGGAUUUAGUGGUCAAAGACAUUGCAGAAUGAGAGGAAUAAAGCAACACCAGAGGGAGCUCUUAACUGGGACAACAAGACUUAAAUCAACCUGGGUAUACAAUCCAAUCAUACAGAUUGUUAAAAUGGUGUCAAAUCCCAAUUGAAACAUACACACCUUCCUCUUUCUCCUGCUCAUCUCCUGCACAAAAAACACUUUUGCAUAUGGACUCAGAAUUAAAGCAUCCUCGCUUAAAACAGAAAUGGACUAAUUUCUGAGUCCCUCAAAAUUAACGGGACUACAAGUAAAUUCUUAUUUGCCUUAAGCAGUGGUAAAAGAAACAAAUUUUACACUUACACCUAUCCAGUCAUCUCAAAGGUUAAGAAAUUAAAGUUUUAUUUGUUGUUAAUUUAUUUAAUAUUCGGUUUAUUUAUUCACAAAAAAAGAGUAUGAGUGAUUAGAAGUAUAAGAUUUAUUCUAAAGAAAUUUUGCUAAUUUAUCUUGGACCACCCUGCAUCAUCACUGAAUAUGACUUGGGAAUGUUAUAUUUCUGUUUCAAUUUUCAAUCUAUUAAGCAGAAAAACUAUAUCCCUCUAACUGAACAGUCAUGAUACAAUAGCAAUAAGGAUGCAACAUUAGUAAAUUAGAGUUAAGUUCUUAGAAUCCUGAUGUAUUUUAUAUUUUAAAUGCCCUUUUGGGGUAAAUGUUAAAAGUCUAGGAUAGUUUUGUAGGAGUAUUUUUUCCCUUAUUGCUUAUCUUAUAAUCUUAAUUUAUCUAAUAUAUGUUCUAGUAAGAUUAGUGAAAUGAACAUUUAUCUGUGACUUAAUGGAAUAAAAAUGUUU
This is a long non-coding RNA of Sarcophilus harrisii (Tasmanian devil), 1321 nucleotides long. RefSeq lists it as uncharacterized. NCBI's taxonomy places the organism in Eukaryota, Metazoa, Chordata, Mammalia, Dasyuromorphia, Dasyuridae. The record is from RefSeq and is a predicted model, not a curated record. The transcript has 2 exons.